Molecule: ribosomal RNA, 173 nt
Filed under: uncultured bacterium
Lineage: Bacteria
Description: partial 16S ribosomal RNA
Rfam family: Bacterial small subunit ribosomal RNA
Source: RNAcentral
GCACGAAGCCGGAGUUGCUAGUAACCGCGAAUCAGAAUGUCGCGGUGAAUGCGUUCCCGGGUCUUGUACACACCGCCCGUCACACCAUGGAAGUUGGGGGUGCCCAAAGCCGGCAAGCAAAUAUGCUGUCUAAGGCAAAACCAAUGACUGGGGUGAAGUCGUAACAAGGUACC